GCUCGGUUGGCUGAAUGGAUUAGGCAGGCAGCUUCUAACUGUCGAGGUAGGGCUCUUCUCAAUGUCCUACGAUGCGGGUUCGAAUCCUGCACCGAGUA
This 98-nucleotide transfer RNA is filed under the name Caudoviricetes sp. RNAcentral's name for it is "tRNA-Arg". It matches the Rfam family "tRNA". From Rfam's summary of the family: Transfer RNA (tRNA) molecules are approximately 80 nucleotides in length. Their secondary structure includes four short double-helical elements and three loops (D, anti-codon, and T loops). The record is from RNAcentral. Lineage: Duplodnaviria; Heunggongvirae; Uroviricota; Caudoviricetes.